GAACGCUAGCUACAGGCUUAACACCUGCAAGUCGAGGGGAAACGACAUCGAAAGCUUGCUUUUGAUGGGCGUCGACCGGCGCACGGGUGAGUAACGCGUAUCCAACCUGCCCAUCACUUGGGAAUAACCUUGCGAAAGUAAGACUAAUACCCAAUGAUAUCCCACGAAGGCAUCGGAAUGGGAUUAAAGAUUUAUCGGUGAUGGAUGGGGAUGCGUCUGAUUAGCUUGUUGGCGGGGUAACGGCCCACCAAGGCAACGAUCAGUAGGGGUUCUGAGAGGAAGGUCCCCCACAUUGGAACUGAGACACGGUCCAAACUCCUACGGGAGGCAGCAGUGAGGAAUAUUGGUAAAUGGGCGAGAGCCUGAACCAGCCAAGUAGCGUGCAGGAAGACGGCCCUAUGGGUUGUAAACUGCUUUUAUAAGGGAAUAAAGUGGGUCACGUGUGACUUUUUGCAUGUACCUUAUGAAUAAGGACCGGCUAAUUCCGUG
This 489-nucleotide ribosomal RNA is filed under the name uncultured bacterium. RNAcentral describes it as "partial 16S ribosomal RNA". It matches the Rfam family "Bacterial small subunit ribosomal RNA", at positions 31 to 507 of the family's 1533-position model. The record is from RNAcentral.